CAGCCGCCGCGGGAAUACGUAGGGUGCGAGCGUUAAUCGGAAUUACUGGGCGUAAAGCGUGCGCAGGCGGUUUUGUAAGACAGGCGUGAAAUCCCCGGGCUCAACCUGGGAAUGGCGCUUGUGACUGCAAAGCUAGAGUGCGGCAGAGGGGGAUGGAAUUCCGCGUGUAGCAGUGAAAUGCGUAGAUAUGCGGAGGAACACCGAUGGCGGAGGCAAUCCCCUGGGCCUGCACUGACGCUCAUGCACGAAAGCGUGGGGAGCAAACAGGAUUAGAUACCCCCGUAGUCCCUGUCUCUUAUAC
This 301-nucleotide ribosomal RNA is filed under the name uncultured bacterium. RNAcentral's name for it is "partial 16S ribosomal RNA". It matches the Rfam family "Bacterial small subunit ribosomal RNA", at positions 509 to 807 of the family's 1533-position model. The record is from RNAcentral.